Molecule: long non-coding RNA, 1515 nt
Organism: Thunnus maccoyii (southern bluefin tuna)
Lineage: Eukaryota; Metazoa; Chordata; Actinopteri; Scombriformes; Scombridae
Exons: 3
Source: RefSeq, a predicted model, not a curated record
UUCCAAACAAAACUCAAAAUAAGGAAGUCAGUUCAGCUUUUCACCGUCCUACCAACCCCAAAAGCCCAGUCAAAAAAGAAAAGAAAUGAUAACGAAAAGAGCACAGUGAAGUCACCCGGCUUUAGCCGACUCACGGUUCAGGGGAAGUGUGGAAACGUGCGUUGUCCGGAGUUGUAAACACGGACGGUUCGGUGUGUUCGUGGAGAUAAGAAGAGAGGCUGCAGUAUCCACGGCUCGAGGGCAACCAAGGUGGAUGUUAACGACGCGGACUGAAACGCGCGCUGAUGGCCAAGGAUAGGCUUACUACGGACAUGGAUGACUCACGAGGGUUUCUCUCCUGCUGUUCACCUGCCGGCGACUCCCGCCAUACUGAAUUAAAUCUCCUGGUAGGAAAAACAGAAGAGGCUGGACUCCGAGGGAGUGGCAACGUGGAGCUAACUCACUGGCUGACUGGACUAGUGGGGUGUGGAAAUAAUGUAUCUUCGUGUAGCCUCCAACAGCGUGGCAUCAGCCACCUUGGCUUUCUUCCAAGAACCUGUUAAGAAGUUUUGUUUUCCUCUCAGAUGGAGAAAAGGAGAGAGGAUCAGGGGUUGGAAAACGUGAAUGUUGGAUGCUUCAUGUUUACAGUCAAUGGCACUGGAAGGAGCCGGGAAGUGUUCACAACCAACGGCUUGAACGGACAGAAUAGAUACUGCUAGUUGAAAGCUGCCACCUCUCUAAUGCCAUGUUGUGGUAGUAUGUUAGCAUACAACUGUUGUUGAGCAGGAAUACUAUUAUUUGCAGUAUUUAUGGUAGUCACAUUUUCAUAUGGUGUAAUAACAUACAGAAUGUAUGCAACAAAAUGUAAUUUUAAAGACAGUGAGUUAUGCAUAAACACACAAUAAAGAGGAAAUUCAAAGGCCAUUUUAACCAUUAGGUCAGUUGGACUAUGUUUGAAAAAUAAAUCUGUUUUUGUGCACUUGUUGUGGAUAAAACCUUUUCUUAAAAGAAACAUUAAUGAUGGUACCCAUUAAUUGUUUAUUUGGGAGAUGUGAGAAGUUGAGUGGAAGUUCAUUUUUAUAUUAAUUUUUUAUAUCAAGUUAAAAUGGUUUUCAGGGUGUUUGUUCCAGAUAUAUGGAGCAUAAAAACAGCACUGCUUCUCCAUGUUUAUUUUUUGACUCUGGGAAGAGAAAGCAGACCUGUCCCAGAUGACCUGAGAGGUCUGGAUGGUUCAUAAGGUAACAGCAGAUCAGAAACCCUAAACCAUUUAGUGCUUUACUGAAAUGCAUGGACUGAAAUCCAUUUUUUCCGUAUCUUGCUGAGACAUAAGUCCUUUAAUCCUUGAUAUAUUCUUCAGGUGAUAGUAGACUGACUUUGUAAUUGUCUUAAUGUGGCUGUUGAAAUUCAGGUCUGAGUCCAUGACCGAGAUUUCUGGUUGGUGUGUGAUUUUUAACAUUAUUGAUUGAAACUGAGCACUGACUUUUAAUAGUUCUGCCUUGGCUCCAAAUUAAAUUACUUCAGUUUUGUCUUUGUUUA